This 497-nucleotide ribosomal RNA is filed under the name uncultured bacterium. RNAcentral's name for it is "partial 16S ribosomal RNA". It matches the Rfam family "Bacterial small subunit ribosomal RNA", at positions 28 to 507 of the family's 1533-position model. The record is from RNAcentral.
GAUGAACGCUGGCGGCGUGCCUAAUACAUGCAAGUCGAGCGAACAGACGAGGAGCUUGCUCCUCUGACGUUAGCGGCGGACGGGUGAGUAACACGUGGAUAACCUACCUAUAAGACUGGGAUAACUUCGGGAAACCGGAGCUAAUACUGGAUAAUAUAUUGAACCGCAUGGUUCAAUAGUUAAAGACGGUUUUGCUGUCACUUAUAGAUGGAUCCGCGCCGCAUUAGCUAGUUGGUAAGGUAACGGCUUACCAAGGCAACGAUGCGUAGCCGACCUGAGAGGGUGAUCGGCCACACUGGAACUGAGACACGGUCCAGACUCCUACGGGAGGCAGCAGUAGGGAAUCUUCCGCAAUGGGCGAAAGCCUGACGGAGCAACGCCGCGUGAGUGAUGAAGGUCUUCGGAUCGUAAAACUCUGUUAUUAGGGAAGAACAAAUGUGUAAGUAACUAUGCACGUCUUGACGGUACCUAAUCAGAAAGCCACGGCUAACUACGUG